CCGUCAGUGGCCAAAUGGUAAGGCAAGGCGCAGAAAAGCCGGCUUGUUUGUCUGCUACCUGCACUACAGGUUCAAAUCCUGUCUGACGGACCA
This 93-nucleotide transfer RNA is filed under the name Halanaerobium salsuginis. Its description in RNAcentral is "tRNA_Phe_GAA". It matches the Rfam family "tRNA". From Rfam's summary of the family: Transfer RNA (tRNA) molecules are approximately 80 nucleotides in length. Their secondary structure includes four short double-helical elements and three loops (D, anti-codon, and T loops). Lineage: Bacteria; Bacillati; Bacillota; Clostridia; Halanaerobiales; Halanaerobiaceae. The record is from RNAcentral.